AUGUGCGUACCUAAAAACCAAGGGGGAAUGGGAUUUCGUGAUAUUCACUGUUUGAACUUGGCUUUGCUUGCCAAGCAGGUGUGGCGUCUUAUUGAUAAACCAACUCUUUGUGUCAUAAUCCUAAGGGCUAAGUACUAUCCGGACGGUGAUUUACUGAACACCAAACUAAAGAAAGGUUCUUCAUUUACAUGGCAAAGUAUUAUGGCCGGGAGGGAGACCCUAAAACGCGGUUACAUUUGGCAAGUGAGGAAUGGUCAAAAUAUUAAUAUUUGGGAAGAUGCCUAG
RNAcentral lists this ribosomal RNA (285 nucleotides) under Triticum aestivum (bread wheat). Its description in RNAcentral is "partial small subunit ribosomal RNA". Lineage: Eukaryota; Viridiplantae; Streptophyta; Magnoliopsida; Poales; Poaceae. The record is from RNAcentral.